This 451-nucleotide ribosomal RNA is filed under the name uncultured bacterium. Its description in RNAcentral is "bacterial SSU rRNA". It matches the Rfam family "Bacterial small subunit ribosomal RNA", at positions 28 to 461 of the family's 1533-position model. The record is from RNAcentral.
GACGAACGCUGGCGGCGUGCCUAAUACAUGCAAGUAGAACGCACAGUUUAUACCGUAGCUUGCUACACCAUAAACUGUGAGUUGCGAACGGGUGAGUAACGCGUAGGUAACCUGCCUGGUAGCGGGGGAUAACUAUUGGAAACGAUAGCUAAUACCGCAUAAUAUUGAUUAUUGCAUGAUAAUUGAUUGAAAGAUGCUAUUGCAUCACUACCAGAUGGACCUGCGUUGUAUUAGCUAGUAGGUGAGGUAACGGCUCACCUAGGCGACGAUACAUAGCCGACCUGAGAGGGUGAUCGGCCACACUGGGACUGAGACACGGCCCAGACUCCUACGGGAGGCAGCAGUAGGGAAUCUUCGGCAAUGGACGAAAGUCUGACCGAGCAACGCCGCGUGAGUGAAGAAGGUUUUCGGAUCGUAAAGCUCUGUUGUAAGAGAAGAACGGGUGUGAGAG